RNAcentral lists this ribosomal RNA (460 nucleotides) under uncultured bacterium. RNAcentral's name for it is "partial 16S ribosomal RNA". It matches the Rfam family "Bacterial small subunit ribosomal RNA", at positions 338 to 795 of the family's 1533-position model. The record is from RNAcentral.
CCUACGGGAGGCAGCAGUGAGGAAUAUUGGUCAAUGGACGAGAGUCUGAACCAGCCAAGUAGCGUGAAGGAUGACUGCCCUAUGGGUUGUAAACUUCUUUUAUAUGGGAAUAAAAUGUUCCACGUGUGGGAUUUUGUAUGUACCAUACGAAUAAGGAUCGGCUAACUCCGUGCCAGCAGCCGCGGUAAUACGGAGGAUCCGAGCGUUAUCCGGAUUUAUUGGGUUUAAAGGGAGCGUAGGUGGAUUGUUAAGUCAGUUGUGAAAGUUUGCGGCUCAACCGUAAAAUUGCAGUUGAAACUGGCAGUCUUGAGUACAGUAGAGGUGGGCGGAAUUCGUGGUGUAGCGGUGAAAUGCUUAGAUAUCACGAAGAACUCCGAUUGCGAAGGCAGUUCACUGGACUGCAACUGACACUGAGGCUCGAAAGUGUGGGUAUCAAACAGGAUUAGAUACCCCUGUAGUC